GGAGGAAUAUUGGUCAAUGGGCGAGAGCCUGAACCAGCCAAGUAGCGUGCAGGACGACGGCCCUAUGGGUUGUAAACUGCUUUUAUAAGGGAAUAAAGUGGGUCUCGUGAGACUUUUUGCAUGUACCUUAUGAAUAAGGACCGGCUAAUUCCGUGCCAGCAGCCGCGGUAAUACGGAAGGUCCGGGCGUUAUCCGGAUUUAUUGGGUUUAAAGGGAGCGUAGGCCGUCGUUUAAGCGUGUUGUGAAAUGCCGCGGCUCAACCGUGGCACUGCAGCGCGAACUGGAUGACUUGAGUUCGCGGGAGGUAGGCGGAAUUC
Molecule: ribosomal RNA, 317 nt
Filed under: uncultured Prevotella sp.
Lineage: Bacteria; Pseudomonadati; Bacteroidota; Bacteroidia; Bacteroidales; Prevotellaceae
Description: bacterial SSU rRNA
Rfam family: Bacterial small subunit ribosomal RNA
Source: RNAcentral